AUACUUAGGAUCCAAGCGUUAUCCGGAUUUACUGGGCGUAAAGCGCAUGCAGGUGGUUUGGUAAGUUGGAUGUUAAAUCUCCCGGCUCAACCGGGAGCUGUCAUUCAAAACUAUCAAACUAGAGGACGGUAGGGGAAGGUGGAAUUCCAGGUGUAGUGGUGAAAUGCGUAGAUAUCUGGAGGAACACCGGUGGCGAAGGCGGCCUUCUGGCCCGCUCCUGACACUAAGAUGCGAAAGCUAGGGUAGCGAACGGGAUUAGAAACCCGGGUAGUCC
Molecule: ribosomal RNA, 274 nt
Filed under: uncultured bacterium
Lineage: Bacteria
Description: partial 16S ribosomal RNA
Rfam family: Bacterial small subunit ribosomal RNA
Source: RNAcentral